CCUGUCUCGAAAAACAAAACAAAACUAAAAAGAAAAGCCCAACCCUAAAAAAAAAACCCUAUGUAAGCCCUUUACCUGUUCAGUUUGGGGCUGCCUUUUUUCCUCACUCUGGCAGAGGCAGCCAUUCUUCUGGAUUCCUCCCUCCUAAUAAAUCUCUUGAGUGAGGUCUGUCAUAAGGACUUUCUUUUGCGUGGAAAUGGAGUAGAGAAGUAACUACUUUUGUCACAGCAGAGCUGUAAUGGCUCUUGCUGGAGCAGAGCAGAAUUUCUACAUUUCUGCGGGGAAACUCACUUAGCCUGGGCAGAGCAGGGGUUAACACUUUGGCUGGGGAAAUUUUCCCUUGCUGGAACAGAAUUGUUACACUCCUGGGAAGCUGAGCAGAGCUGUAAUAUUUCUCCAGAGCAGAGCAGAGCCAGCGGGGGGUGGGGGGAGAGAGAUAAAAAAGCAGAGACAGAGCAGAGCAGAGAGCAAAGAGCAGAGAGCAGAGCAGAGCACAGCAGAACCUCCCUGUGGAAACCCUCUUCUGCUGGAGCAGAGUUGUUACACUUGCAUUAGGGAAACCUUUCCUGAAACAAGGACUGUGACACUUUGCUGGGGAAAUCAUCCCUGACGGGUACAGAGCUGUAACACUUCCGUUCAGAUACCCUUCCCUUCAGUGCAGUAGGUAUACCCUUGGUUUACGAUGGCCAGGGUAUGGUUCCCUUCAGAGGUGUAACACUUGCUCACUCAUCUCUGCUCUGUCUUUAGUCAGAGUCUUCACUCAUCCCUGUUGUCUUUGGCAUGUUGCUUUCUCUACCCCACAGUUUGGUUUCUUUUACCAUGAUUUAACAUGAUGCUCACUUCAUUGGAUUUGUGGUAAAGGGCACAAAGAAACAUCUUAAACAUGCCUGACAGGGGACAAGCAAUCAGGCUCAGUAACAUAGGCAUGUUGUCACUUACCCCAACCACCUCUUUCAUGGUACAAAUACUCUACUUUGAAGUUAACCUGCCAAUGUCAUACUGUCAAGAAGUGUCUGACCAGAACACAGAUCUUGUUGUGG
This 1040-nucleotide long non-coding RNA is filed under the name Cricetulus griseus (Chinese hamster). RNAcentral describes it as "lncRNA (ENSCGRG00015034220.1)". The record is from RNAcentral. Lineage: Eukaryota; Metazoa; Chordata; Mammalia; Rodentia; Cricetidae.